This 464-nucleotide ribosomal RNA is filed under the name Vreelandella stevensii. RNAcentral's name for it is "partial 16S ribosomal RNA". It matches the Rfam family "Bacterial small subunit ribosomal RNA", at positions 338 to 794 of the family's 1533-position model. Lineage: Bacteria; Pseudomonadati; Pseudomonadota; Gammaproteobacteria; Oceanospirillales; Halomonadaceae. The record is from RNAcentral.
CCUACGGGGGGCAGCAGUGGGGAAUAUUGGACAAUGGGCGAAAGCCUGAUCCAGCCAUGCCGCGUGUGUGAAGAAGGCCUUCGGGUUGUAAAGCACUUUCAGUGGGGAAGAAAGCCUUGGGGCUAAUACCCUCGAGGAAGGACAUCACCCACAGAAGAAGCACCGGCUAACUCCGUGCCAGCAGCCGCGGUAAUACGGGGGGUGCGAGCGUUAAUCGGAAUUACUGGGCGUAAAGCGCGCGUAGGCGGUCUGAUAAGCCGGUUGUGAAAGCCCCGGGCUCAACCUGGGAACGGCAUCCGGAACUGUCAGGCUAGAGUGCAGGAGAGGAAGGUAGAAUUCCCGGUGUAGCGGUGAAAUGCGUAGAGAUCGGGAGGAAUACCAGUGGCGAAGGCGGCCUUCUGGACUGACACUGACGCUGAGGUGCGAAAGCGUGGGUAGCAAACAGGAUUAGAUACCCGGGUAGU